GGAGGUGUAUCGAAGUGGUCAUAACGGUCUCGACUCGAAAUCGAGUGGCGAGUAAAAUCGCCCGUGGGUUCGAAUCCCACCGCCUCCGCCA
This 91-nucleotide transfer RNA is filed under the name Clostridia bacterium. RNAcentral describes it as "tRNA-Ser". It matches the Rfam family "tRNA". Rfam says of the family: Transfer RNA (tRNA) molecules are approximately 80 nucleotides in length. Their secondary structure includes four short double-helical elements and three loops (D, anti-codon, and T loops). Lineage: Bacteria; Bacillati; Bacillota; Clostridia. The record is from RNAcentral. RNAcentral also lists the same sequence under 1 other name.